GUGGACGACGAUGUCCGUUUUCCUGCCAAAACGGACGAAAAACGAACGAAACGGACGUCCGUUUGGGUCGUGCGUUGGAGUUGGCCUCACUCAGCAAACACAUAUCACUUUCUGCAUUUAUUUCCUCCUCUCCGUAUAGCCUGCUCUUCCCGUACCUGAUGCCGGAUCCAAGCACCCACGAGCACAGGUUGUAGAAAUCGUGCAGCAUCCUCUGAAUGUUCUGCCAGUGCAGGGGGUUCGAUCUGGGGGUGCUCUGCCACUCGGAAUCUGCACUCACAACAGUUCAAUGUAUGUUCAGAAAAUUGACGUUAGCUGCAUCAGAAAUUCAGAAAGUACGAGCCGCAGCUUCCUUCGCACACGCGUCCACCGAGCAGCUGUCAUCCGUCGGGGCCCCUGUUUCUUCAUCGCCACCAUUGCCGCGCACACGGCCGCCUCACCGCAAUCGCCGUCAAUCGACGGCACUGGGAACCUGCUCACCAACAAUAACCUAUCAACCCACGAAGCCAAUCUGAGCAUACAGCCUAGGCCAGUGGGAAAUCAAGUCGAAAAUCUUACCUAUCGACCCGAUCUGAUAGGAACUCGAAGCCUCCCGUCAUCCUGCCCGCUGACUUCAUUUGCUGGAAUUUUUCCUGGGCGUCGUCUCUGUUCGAGUCCACGCAGGAGGGCGGGGACAGCGGUGCCUACAACCCCAUCCUCGCAAGCGGACGGCCGGCACCGUUGCCUGUUGACUGUUCGGAGUUCGCCGCCGACAAUCUGAUGUUCCCGCAAACGCCGUUCAGGUCUACUCGGAGCCUGGCCGUCGGUCGCCCAACUCACCAAUGUUGAACUGGCCUACUGCAUCUAGCAGACCUAGAGCGGGCUGUGCCGGUGGCGCGUAGUCACCACCUGCUAACGCCCGCACAGGGAACCUAGCCAACGGGAGAACGCUCCCUGAGAUUCAUGAUCCACCGUCAAUGGAAAUCAAACGAGGGCAAUAAGCAUACCGAUCGACUGGAUCUGCUAAGAACUCGAACCCAUCCCCCACCGUCUCCAUCGUCAACCCUCUCAAGCCGCGCACCGAAACCGGAGGAAUAGUUUCUUAGAAUAGCAGGUACCCUUCUCGUUGGAGCCCAGUUGCCGCUUGCCAGUACUAUAUUUUCUUAUUUUUUCCACCUCAAACGCCGUUUGUGAAAGCCGGUAAACGGAGCUCCG
Molecule: long non-coding RNA, 1191 nt
Filed under: Triticum aestivum (bread wheat)
Lineage: Eukaryota; Viridiplantae; Streptophyta; Magnoliopsida; Poales; Poaceae
Description: long non-coding RNA (TAES_LNC014660)
Source: RNAcentral